RNAcentral lists this ribosomal RNA (774 nucleotides) under uncultured Neocallimastigales. Its description in RNAcentral is "partial large subunit ribosomal RNA". It matches the Rfam family "Eukaryotic large subunit ribosomal RNA", at positions 24 to 642 of the family's 3401-position model. The record is from RNAcentral. Lineage: Eukaryota; Fungi; Neocallimastigomycota; Neocallimastigomycetes; Neocallimastigales.
AUCUCUGUAGAGUCUGCAUAUCAAUAAGCGGAGGAAAAGAAACUAACAAGGAUUCCCCUAGUAACGGCGAGUGAAGCGGGAAGAGCUCAAAUUUGAAAUCUUCAAGGUUUGACCUUGACGAAUUGUAGUUUAAAGAAGUGUUUUCGGUUAGAGGAGUAGUAAAAGUUCUUUGGAAUAGGACAUCAUAGAGGGUGAGAAUCCCGUAUUUGACUAUUCUUUCUAGCUUUGUGAUAGCACUUUCAAAGAGUCGGAUUGUUUGGGAAUGCAGUCCAAAAUGGGUGGUAAAUUUCAUCUAAAGCUAAAUAUUGGCGAGAGACCGAUAGCGAACAAGUACCGUGAGGGAAAGAUGAAAAGAACUUUGAAAAGAGAGUUAAACAGUACGUGAAAUUGUCAAAAGGGAAGCGUUUGACACCAGUGUUGUUUUUCCGAAAAUCAAUUAAAAAUUGAUUCAUGCCAGGUUGUAUUGACCUUAUCAGCUUGCAAUUUGGUUUUGGGUCUCUUUUUGAUGCACUUUUCGGUUAACAAGUCAACAUCAAUUUCCUUUGCUGUAAAAAGGUAAGAGGAAGGUGGCUUCAAUUUCGGUUGAAGUGUUUAUAGCCUUUUAUCUCUGCAGUCGGGGAGAUUGAGGUCUGCAGCGUAGAUCCUUCGGGGCUAGAUACAUUUAUGCUAAGUUAUAGCUUUUCAUAGACAACUUGUUGACUAUGUUUAGUCAUGUAGCUUACUCGUAAGUGCUAUUUUACCUACGCUUAGGAUGUUGAAGACUCUACAGAGAUA